Molecule: long non-coding RNA, 11726 nt
Filed under: Capsicum annuum
Lineage: Eukaryota; Viridiplantae; Streptophyta; Magnoliopsida; Solanales; Solanaceae
Description: long non-coding RNA (CANN_LNC012132)
Source: RNAcentral
UACUAAUCUCAUUGCCAGUGAUCAUAUUGCAACAUGAUAAAGAGAUAUGGGGUGAAGAUGCAAACAAGUUCAAUCCAGAGAGAUUUAGAGAAGGAAUAUCAAGUGCAACAAAAGGUCAAGUAACAUAUUUUCCAUUUGCUUGGGGUCCUAGAAUAUGCAUUGGACAAAAUUUUGCCAUGUUAGAGGCAAAGAUGGCUGUGUCUAUGAUCCUACAAAGCUUCUCUUUCGAAUUGUCUCCAUCCUACACACAUGCUCCUCAAUCCAUAAUAACCAUGCAGCCUCAGUUUGGUUGCCCACUUAUUUUCCACAAACUGUAACUUUUUGCUUGAACCUUGGUAUUUGUAUCAGGAAAUACAUCAACUUUGUAUGUCUUUUAACGCAGUUUAUUAUUCGUUGCAACUUGUAAAUCUUUAUAUAUAAAUUUUGCUACGCAUCAAAAGUAUUAGGUUUAGAUGAACUCAGUGAUCUCUACAUCCACAAUUGUCGUUGGCAGGUAUUGACAUGACAAGAAACGGUAAUGAUGGAACGAUAUAGUAAUUUUUUUAAAAAAUAUUGACGGUGUGUGAACUAGCUUACGAACAUCUCAAUUAUCAUUAAUUAGUUACUUGAACAAUCCUCAUUAGUAUCCUUCAUAAAUAUAUCAUUCAGUUGAUCUCUCCGUUUUACAUCUUCAAAAAAAAUCAGGUCAUCUUAAAUCGUAGCAUUGGUAAAGCGGAAGUCCAUUUCGAUAUGUUUAACUCUUUCAUGCUUCAUUAAUUUGGUCACAAACAAAUGUAAUAGAUCUUCAUCGAUUUUGAAACUGCAAAAUAAUCAUGCAAGUGAUUAGAGUAUAUGUCAAGUUCAAGAGUUCCUUUAAAGUAACACAAGUUUUGUUAGAGAUCUACUGAUCGUGUGUUUAAUGAUAGGUGUGUGUAUAAACUAGAAAGAAUUACGGUUUUAGUCUCUGAGUUAACGUGUUAUUCUAGUUUUGGUCCCUAUGAUAUCCGAUUAACCACUUUUGACCUUCAAUUAAACCCUAACUGCUAUUUUGAUCUGAUGACUAACGGAUCUCAUCAACCUGAAUGCACUAAUAAAAUACCUUGUAUAUAUUAUCCAUGAAAAAGUUUGAAGUCAUACUAAAAAUGUUAAGAGGUGAAAUCAAUAAAAUUUGCUUAAUUAGAUGCCCAAUCAGUAAAAAAUGUGCCUAGAUAUUAUAAAUGCUGAAAAAGAAUUUAACAUUUUUGCAUAUAAUUUAUUUUCAUAAAGGGUCAAAAAAGUGCUCUUACUAACGUUAUUGGUUCAUUUGGAUUGAUAAUUCAUGUUAGUUAUCUGAUUAAAAUAGCACGUAUUGCUUCAUUAAAGAUUAAAAAUGCUUAGUUGAAUAUUACAGAGAUCAAAGCUGAAAUAACACGAUAACUCAGAACUCAAAAGGUCAUUUCCUCGCAUAAACUAAUUGAAAAUGUUGAUUGCUCGGGCAAUAAAGGCAUACUAGUGAUGUCUAAACAGUAGUCCAAACCAGAGAGAGCAAAUUGAUAACCCGAUAAAACUAGGAAAAAAUACAUCAAAUAAACAUUUAAACAUAUCUGUUUUUGGUCAGAUAGAAUUUAAUUUAAAUUUGGUAUAAGGAGCAUCUCCUGACAAAAAGAGUAAACUCAUUCAACUUCUUCUUUCUGUGUUGGCAUAAAGCUAGUGGGUACUCCACCUAUAGGAAUUAAUUUAGCAACAAAAGCAAAAUUCUUGGCAAAUACGUAAGACCAUGUAUAUAUGAGGCUGACAUCUGAUUAGCCUUUAAGGUCAAGGAAGCUGGUGAUAAGGGAGCGGGCAACCAAAGCCAGAGUGAAUGGUGGCAUAAUUGUAACAAUUAAAUUUUACAUGUCUCAUUCAGACUAAGAUAUAACUGAAGGAGAAGCAUUUUUGUUGUAGGUGACAAUGAUCUUGUAUGAGACACUACGGUUAUAUCCCCCAACAAUAGCUAGUAAUAAUUUGGCGAGUAAUGAAGACAUUGAAUUAGGAGAAUUGUCUCUACCAGCUGUGCACUAGUCUCUUUGCCAGUGAUUUUACUGCAUCAUAUAAAGAGAUACGGGGUGAAGACGCAAACAAGUUCAAUCCUGAGAGAUUUAGAGAAGGAAUAUCAAGUGCAACAAAGGGUCAACUUACAUAUUUUCCAUUUUCUUGGGGUCCUAGAAUAUGCAUUGGACAAAAUUUAGCCAUGUUAGAGGCAAAGAUGGCUGUGUCUAUGAUCCUACAAAGCUUCUCUUUCGAAUUGUCUCCAUCUGACACACAUGCUCCAUCUUUCUCUCUUUGUGGCUGCUAAAAACUCUUUUCUGGAUGGUGCAAUAAGUCCUAAAAAAUCUAUAUAAAUGCCCCAUAGCAAUGGAUUUAUGAACAAAAAUGGGUUGGUUCAAUUGAGUUUUAUUUAUUCACAUAUGAAGGGAAAACGAUCCAUAGCCCAAUAAUUCUCCCCCUCACGACUGUGUGGAGGAGACCAUCAUCCCGGUGAUCAUGCAACAAUCUUCAACUUCCCUCUAAAAAGUAGCAAAUUCUAAAAUUUUGUGAUUUUAAACUAAAUAUGUGUAUGUAUUAAAAUUCUCUUCGAAUCUCUUGAUUCUUGUUGAAAGUUGCUUUAAGAAUGCAACUGUUUUUUUUCCUUUUUUCUCCAGCAAUAUUUUUUUUAACGUACAAUCCUAGUUAAAUUAGGAGUCCUAUCUUUGGUAGGAAACUAGUUAGUUAUUCUAAUUUUGGUAGAAAUACGUGUUUCUUUGUCCUAUUUUUAGUUGUAAUAACAACUAUCUAAGUUGCUAAGUUGAUGAUCAAUUAUAGUCGGUCUUUCAACAAGAAAAUAAUCUCUCUCUGUCUCUCUACAUAUUCUCUUCUUCAAACUCCAUCUCUGUUUCUGCGUCCAGCUUUAAAUUGAAUUCCUGUGUUAUUUCCCUUUAACAGUUUUAAACCAACAAUUGGUAUCAAAGCUUUAAUCUUAAGGGACCUGUGAGUGUUGUGCAUCAAUCUGAUCUAGUGGAUACCAUGAAUGGAGAAACAAAUUCUUCUUCAAUGGCACCACCAACUUUCGAUAGAGAAAGUUAUCAAAUCCGGGCAGUUAGAAUGCGGAUAUAUCUACAAGCUUUGAAUCUCUGGGAAGCUGUUGAAGAUGAACACGAGAUAGCUCCCUUGCCAGACAAUUCCACGGUGGCGCAGAUUAAAACUCACAAGGAGAGAAAAACUAGGAAAUCAAAGGCAAUGACAUGCUUAUUUACUGUAGUUUCAUCUAAUAUCUUGACUCGUAUCAUGUCUCUACAAUCAGCAAAAGAGGUAUGGGAUUAUCUCAAGACUGAGUAUGAAGGAGAUGAAAGGAUUCGAGGGAAGCAAGUGGUGAAUCUGGUACGUGAGUUUGAGCUGCAAAGGAUGAAAGAAAGUGAAACCAUAAAGGAAUACUCUGACAGACUUCUUAAUUUAGCAAAUCACAUCAGAUUGUUGGGUUCCACUUUCAAUGAUUCAAGGAUCGUUGAAAAAAUCCUAUUAACGGUACCUGAAAGAUUUGAGGCUACCAUAACAACCUUAGAAAACACUAAGAACUUGUCUAAGAUCACACUUGCAGAGCUCUUAAGUGCUUUUCAAGCGUAAGAGCAACGGCGUAUUAUGAGACAAGGAGGAGCUGUCGAAGGUGCCUUACCAGCCAAACAUCACGAUGAUGGACGUUCUAAGAAGAAGAAGAAUAAGAAGUACCAACCAACUGAUGAAGAAGGUGCAACGCACAACAAUAAAAUCAAAACAGGUGGUUUCAAAGGAAACUACCCUCCUUGUAAGCAUUGCAGAAAGCUCGGACAUGCACCUUUCAAGUGUUGGGAGAGGGCUGAUGCUAAGUGCAGUAAGUGCAAUCAGCUUGGGCAUGAAGCGAUCAUCUACAAGAACAAAACUGAGCAGUAAGAUGCAGAGGCUCGAGUUGUUGAUGAACUGGAAGAAGAUCAACUCUUUGUCGCAUCAUGUUUAACAAGCAGUGUCUCAAGCGAAUCGUGGCUGAUCGAUAGCGGAUGCACAAAUAAUAUGACUUGUGAUAAAAAUCUUUUUAAAGAUUUGAGCCCUACUAAAGUUACAAAAGUUAUAAUCGGCCAUGGUGGUUAUAUUCCAGCAAAAGGAAUGGGAACCAUUACAAUUGAAACAUAAUCGGGCACUAAAAUAAUUUCUGAUAUUCUUUAUGUACUCGAUUUGGACCAAAACUUAUUAAGUGUUGGUCAGUUAUUAGAAAAAGAUUUCAAAUGUAUUUCAAAGAUAAACACUGUUUGAUCAAGAAAGCAUCUGAACAAGACCUAUUUAAAGUCAAAAUGAGAGGCAGAAGUUUCUCAUUAAAUCCAUUGGAAGAAGAACGCGGAUUUCACCCGUUGUGUGUGGAGCCACCUCUACUAAAAGAAGAUAUCAGACCUGAUGAUGAAGGCUGGAUUUGUCCUGGUUGUGAUUUCAAAGUUGACUGCAUUGACUUGCUUAAUGAUAGUCAAGGAACCGACCUUUCCUUCACUGACAGCUGGGAGAAAGUAUAUCCCAAGGAAGUUGUUGCUGCGUCUGGGGAGAAUCUAGAUGAUAUUUCUGAACUUCCAUCUGAUGACUUGAAGGAUGAUGACUUCAACCUUGAAAAUCCAGAUGUAAAAAAAAUGAUUUUGAAGUUGAGGCCAGUUCUGAUGAAUCUACAAAGUAUGGGACUUCACAAGCUUCCAAGAAAAACGCUCGUUAUCUAAUGGAAAAGAUAAUCUUGUUAAACUUUAGGAUGCCAAGUCAGGGAUGGAACUUUCGUCAUUUCACGGGCAUAAGAAUACCGUUCUCCGCGUGAAGUGGAAUCAGAAUGGUAACUGGAUUCUUUUUUGCUUCCAAGGAUCAAAUUAUCAAGCUUUAUGACAUAAGGUCUAUGAAGGAUCUUGAGUCAUUCCGUGGGCAUUAGAACGAUGUGAAAUUAUUGGCCUGGCAUCUGUUUCAUGAAGAAUAUUUAGUCAGCGGAACCUAUGAUGGUUCAAUAUUUCAUUGGCUUGUGGGUCAUGAAGCUCCUCAAGUAGAAAUUACAAAUGCACAUGAAACUGGUGUUUGGGAUCUUUCAUGGUACCCAAUUGGUUAUCUCCUUUGCAGUGGCAGCAAUGAUCAGACAACAAAGUUCUGGUGCAGAAAAAGGCCUGGCGACUCCGCUCGUGAUAAAUUCAAUCUAGGACAGCAAGGUUUGGGUGAUCAAAACAAUGUUCUUGGUCGCAUGCCUGGUAAUUUUCCAGGUCUUGAGUCCCCCUCAACUCGUGGAGCAUUUACCUCCGGUAUAUUAAAAACUGAGGGUACAAUACCUGGAGUUGGAACUGCAGUGCCUCUGUCUAUCCCAUUACUUGAUUCAUCACCUCAAGGAGAACAGAAGACUUCAAUGCCAAUUUCAAUGCUUUUAGGAGCUCCUCCUUUUUCUCAUGGUCCACAUCCAUCUCUUCUUGCAAGUAAUCAGCAACAAGAGUAUCAACAAAAUAUGCAGCAAGUUCAGCAGCAGCAGUCACUACCUCAACAAAUGACUUCUCUUCUUCUGAAGCCUUCAAAUUUGCCACAGUUAGAAGACCUGUUCACUAAGCCACUUCCAAUCAGCAAGUUCGAGCUUCUAAGGCAAAGAAUUGGUGUUUGCAUUUCAUAAAGCAAGGAGGAGUGUUGAAAGUUGCUUUAAGAAUGCAACUGUUUUUUUCUUUUUCCUUCAGCAGUUUUUUUUUACGUACAAUCCUAGUUAAAUUAGGAGUCCUAUCUUUGGUAGGAAACUAGUUAGUUAUUCUAAUUUUGGUAGAAAUAGGUUGUUUCUUUAUCCUAUUUUUAGUUGUAAUAGAAACUAUUUAAGUUGCUAAGUUGAUGAUCAAUUAUAGUCGGUCUUUCAACAAGAAAAUAAUCUCUCUCUGUCUCUCUGCAUAUUCUCUUCUUCAAACUCCAUCUCUGUUUCUGCGGCCAGCUUUAAAUUGAAUUCUUGUGUUAUUUCCCUUUAACGGUUAUAAACCAACAAUUCUAAACAUGUGAUGUGGGAUGUUGAAAAUAAAUACUCCGUCCAUUUCAAUUUGUUUGUCUCACUUUCCUUUGUGUCUUUAUGGAAAAGAAUAUCUACUCUUUUUUGGAAACAUUUUGAUUUCAAUUUUUCACAUUUUGUGUUCAAGACCAUAAGCUUAGAGAACAUUUUGGUACUUUUCACUUAUUUUUAUGAGCCUUCGUCCUGUUGUUGUUUUAUAAAAUUUCACAGUGAGUCAUAUGCCCAAAGUAGUUCCUGUGCUCACACUUGAUUACUGUUAACAUAUAUUUUCUCUUCUAGAUUCUCCGUGAAAUGUAUUGCUAUGAAUUCCCAUGAUUAUGUAUGAGUUGUUGCCCUAUUGCUAUAUAUUCACCAUAUCUUCGACGAAAUCAUAAUUCAUCCAAUAUGUAACUGAAUUCUAUAACUCGAUUAGCUUGACUUCGGUAUGAACAAAGAAGGAAACUAAAUAGUCGUGCAGUGGAUCAAGAAAACAGAAUAGUGCUACAGUGAAGCCAAAGGAAAAAAAAAUAGAACUGCAUCUCAAAAAAAAGGGUAGGUACUUCAAUUUUCUCAUUUUUACUUGUAUAUUUUGGUGUAUUAUAAAGAUAAUACGUGAACUGAAGUAUAAUUUAGAAUAAAAUUAUAUGUCAGGACCCAUAUUCUCCCCAUAGGAUUACAUUUUCAUAUUGUCUAUUAGAUUAUGGUUUAUGCGGUUGAAAGAUCUAUUUAUAUGAAUUGAUCAUCAAAGGCUGAGAAGAUUCAUUUUUUGAUGGGACUGGUGCACUGAGCAUCUAAAGAUGUUGAGCUCAAAAAAUAUUUGUACAAUAUUUCUUCUAAAAGGUUAGUCAUUUUAUCAAUAAGUUCAGGUUAACAACAACAGUCAUCUCAGCCCCAACAGCAAGCUCAGGCACGACAACAACUUAACAGCUCAGCCACGACGACAACACCUUCAAAGCAUGUAUCAAAGUAAUAGCUUUUGGAAAUAUCCAAUCUUUGUAUAGUAAAAGAGUAGGUAUACCACCUUGUCACCCGCAAAUGCCUCCUAUUUCGUCAUAUUCUCAGAUCCCUUUAACCAGGCCAUGGGAUAAACAAACGAGUAUGCAGAAUUUUUGUAAUCCAAGGCUAUCACAUUCACGAUCUUUAUCACAACCAGCUGUUCUUUGUUGAAGAAAAUUUGUUCUAUAACAGGUUGAUCCACAAAGUUGAUACUGUAAUUGAAACGGACAGGAAUAAGCAAUACCACAAAACGAAAGAAAAUAAGAAGAACACACAGAUUUUACAUGGAAAUCCUUGACAGGAAAAACUAGGGGUAGAGGAGGAGAAGAUUCACUAUGAUGAAGAGGAAUACAUGGAGGAGACGAAGGUUUCAAUGAUGUAUAUAAACUACCACAAACAACCCACUAAAUCACACUUAUAUAAUACGUGCGUACAAAUAAAUCCUAAGUCCAAAAAAUCUCAAACAUGGAUCGCAUCGCAAACUUUUUAGAGCCGGGUCAACAAAAUUCGGGUCACAAACUCUAACGGAUACAAUGUCCUUUAUAAUUGGAAACCAUCUCAUCAAUGUGUGUGGUUGCAUCCUUUGCUGUUUUUGUUAAACUCGUGUUUCAUUUGUUGAGCAUUACGUUCCUAAUGUAAGGAUUCUCACACACCAAAUGGUUCUUUGAUACCAAAUUUAGUGUAUAUUUUGAUGAAAUUGUUACUCAUGCAAUAAAGAGGAUAUAUUAAUUUCACUCGACAAGGAACAGAACAACUUAUUAUGUUCGUUUUACUGUCUAGGCACAGGACUUGGCGUAUGGAGGCCAGAGGGUACUUUAAUAAAGUGUAAGUCUCAUGCAAUUUCGGAAAUUGGGUAGUUGAGCAUCUUGUGAUUUUAUUAUUUACCCUGCUUUUUUUUUUUGAGGUCUGAGUCAUUUGUGCGUUAUAUGCAGGCUUCAUGUUGUUGCAUCAAACACCGUUAAUUGAAACAAAUGAUUCACUGCUAUUGUUCCUCUUUCUUCUUUUGUUUUGUUUGUGGGAGGUUUUCGUUAUAAUACAUGAGAUGGAAAAGCAGUCCUGAUUCUUCAUAAAUAGAGCCGUAUCUGCAAUUUCAGAUAAUAAUAAUGAAAUCCAUCUCUGUCCUAUAGUGCUCAAUAAUUUGGGCCAAAAUUGAAAUUGACGUAAUAUAAAAUAAUUUUUGACAAGAAAUCAUACCCGACAUAUAAUAGACAUGCAGCUUAUCUUUGCUCUUUUUAUCAGAUGAUAAAUUCAAAAAUAUAUGGCAGCAUGUUGUUCAGAAGGUUUGUAGAGAAAAGGAAAUCCUGAUUUUAUUGAUUGUAACAGGAAUCCAAAUCUAGAAAGGAUGUGUCCGGAUCACUUGAGCUGAUAAAAAUAUGUAUCCUCUCAAUGCAACAACUACUGCCAACAAAGGAUUAAACAGACAUUAAAAAUUCAAAUGGAACAGAACCUCUCGCUGCACGCAAUAGCGGAAAGCAAUACCGAACAGGCAUGGAUUGUGCUCACUUCCCUGCUCCUUCAACCCUAUAAUUGAAACAAGGAGUGCAAUUUGGAUAAACUUAGUAAUUUUGAAUUUAUCGAACCCAUUAUCCAGAAGGAUUUUGAUAUAGGAUUCAACUAGCAUAGGACAUUGUCUCGAUUGCAACAAAUACAUUUUUAUAUGGCCAUUGAUCAAAUAUCUCUCAACCUUGUGAUGCAUCAAAUUUCUUCAUUUAUGUAAAUAAGAUAUGCAUAAUUACAUAGUAAAACUUGAUUUUUCUACUUAUAAUUCUAACUGAUACAAUUUAGCUUAUAGUACAUAAACAUCUUGCUUUGAUAUUGAGCCUGUGCAGACACGGACCGCACACCUCUAGUCAUUAAUAAACAUGUGCCACUAUCAUAAUAAAAAAGUUGUGAAUAAUUAAUUAAAAUUUGAAAGAAAAUGACUCUUUGAAGUUUUUUUUAAGAAAAUCAGCCUAAUGCGCUAAGCUCGCGUCGUACACAAGGUUCGGGGAAGGGUUCGACCACUAGGGUAGUCUAUUGUACGAAACAUCACCUUAUAUUUCUACAAUGAGUCAUUCCACGACUUGAACCUAUGACCUCCUGGUCACAUUACAACAACUUUAUCAGUUACUUCAAAUCCUCCCCACUUUUUAAUUUUUUUAAAAAAUAAUUUUUAAAACUUGAAGUUGUGUUUAAACUUUAAACGGGAAAAUUUCAUCCAUGAUCACUUAACUAUGUAUCUAUUACUCAAAAGUCAUUUUUCUUUCAUUCAUUUCAUCCAUAGUCAUUUAACUUUACUUUGACCAUCACAAAAGUCACUAUGAUCGGAUUUUACAAUAAUUUCAUCGAAAAAAUGAUGUGGCAACCUUAAUUAAUUCUUAAUUUAAAUUUAAGUGAAUAUAUAAUAUAUUACUCAUAUCUUGACCCUUUUUACAUGUGCACAACACAAUUUUCCUUAUGGACUAUUUAAUGAAAGAAUACUAAUUUCUUGAUAGAUUAGAUUGCCUAGACUAUUUUAUUAAAAAAAUUUAGUUGAUAUUUUUAUGAAAUAAAAUUAUACUUAUAUAUUCUUAAAAUUCUCUAAAGUUGAGACAUGUGUUGGUAAAUUAUUUUUUCCUCUAAUAUGAUGGUAUGUAGUUGAUAAAAUUAUUUUUCUCCCUCUAAAAUUGUGACAUGUAGUUGACAAAAUAAUUUUUUUCAUACAUUUUUUUUCUCACCACUUGAGUCUUUGCAUUCGGUAUAUCAUAAUAAGAUGAUAAACUACUCUAUUUAUUGAGUUUAUCUUUAUAUUUUUAAUUGUUUGACUAAUCGAUUAAUUCUCUUAAAAGUUUUUAUUAUAAGAUUCAAUUUCUUAUGAAUUACAUAUUUUUAAUUAAUUUAAUUGAUAAAUAUAAAAAUUAGAUAUCCUAUAAUUUCUUUAUCUAUUAAAGUACUUAUAUUUUAUAACUUUUAUUAACAAAACUAUACGUUAAUAUAACAUUAUUUGUAAAAUUUUGACAAUACUUAUUCAAUGACACAAUUAAAAAAAAUGAUUUUAAAACUAUCUUUAGCAUGUUGAUUUAUCUUCAAAGAAUUAAAAUAUUUUUUUUUAAAAAAAUAAUAUCAUACAAGUAUUUCUAUUUUAUGUGUUUUGAAGAAUUUAUCUUAUUUAUCACUCUUUUUCGAUGCACCUUUUUGGUAGAUGAAUGCAAUAUUAUGAAAUAUUUCAUAAAAAUAACAAUCAAUUUUUUCUAUGAAAAUAGUCUAUUAAGAAAUUGGUAUUCUUUCAUUAAAUAAUCCAUAAGGAAAAAUUGGGUUUGCACAUAUAAAAAAGAUCAUAUUAUAUAUUCACUUAAAUUAAAAUUAAAUUUCUUUCCUACAUCUUAACUAAUGCAGCAUUCUGUUUUUCUGUUUUAUGUAAAACUAUUUCAAAAAUUUUUGCCAACAAAGAGGAACAGAAGAAUGAAGCAAAUAAACAAGGAUGUUCGGUCCUCAAUUCGAGGUAUUAUUGAUAAAAGAUUGAAGGCAAUGGAAGCAGGGGAGGCUGACAAUAAGGAUCUUUUAGGCAUAUCGCUUGAAUCAAAUUUUAAAGAAAUUGAACAGCAUGGGAACAAGAAGUUUGGAAUGACCAUUGAAGAAGUCAUUGAAGAAUGCAAGCUAUUCUAUUUUGCUGGCGCAGAAACAACAUCAGUACUACUCGUAUGGACUCUGAUGUUGUUGAGCAAAUAUCAAGACUGGCAGGCACGGGCCAGAGAAGAAGUCUUGCAAGUGUUUGAGAGUCGUAAACCAGAUUUUGAUGGAUUGAAUCGUCUAAAAGUUGUGAGUAUUGUGGUUUUAUUGGUUCAAUUUAUCUGCCAUGAGUUUCUACUCUCAUUGUUAUUGCAAUUGCUUGAGUUCUUAAAUUUUUAAAGUUGGGACUUUCUGAUACUAAUUUGAUAGCGGACCAGGGAGGGGGUUGGGGGGAGUAUUUUUCCAAGCGCAUGUGAAUUUAUUUUGAUCAUAGGUGGGAUGAGACUUGAACUUAAGAUUUCUAUGUUGGUUACAGGAUAGUGCAGUACUCCACCUGUAGAAAAUAGUGUAACAACAAAAUUGAAAAGAGCUUGGCGAGUAGCCCCAUAAUUUCAGGAUAAGGGUCGCCUCCUCACAGAAAAAGGUCGCAGCGAUCAGGCCCAGAAGACUGUUUACCAAAAAACACAGGUCUUGGCAGAGUCAUAAAACCAUGUAUAUAUGGGACGUCUUCCCACUCUUGAAGGUCAAAGAAGUUAGUGACCUGAUGAUAAGGGAGUAGGCGACCAAAUCCCCGGUGAACAGUGUCCAUAAGCCCGUAACUGCAAUAUUAAAUUUUACAUGUCUCAUUCAUUCUAGAUAUAAUUGAAGGAGGAGCAUUUUUAUGGCAGGUCAGGAUGAUCUUGUACGAAUCAUUAUGACUGUAUCCCCCAGGAACAUCAUAUAUCCGGCGGCUAAUAAAGACAUUGUUUUGGGAGACCUGUCUAUACCAGCUGAUGUACAAAUCUCUUUGCCAGUGCUCUUAUUGCAUCGUGAUAAAGAGAUAUGGGGUGAAGAUGCAAGAAUGUUCAAUCCAGAGAGAUUUAAAGAAGGAAUAUCAAGUGCAACAAAGGGUCAAGUCACAUAUCUUCCAUUUUCUUGGGGACCUAGAAUAUGCAUUGGACAAAAUUUUGCCAUGUUAGAGGCAAAGAUGGCUUUGUCUAUGAUCCUACAAAGCUUCUCUUUCCAACUGUCUCCAUCAUACACACAUGCUCCUCAAUCCAUAAUAACCUUGCAGCCUCAGUUUGGUUGCCCA